RNAcentral lists this ribosomal RNA (464 nucleotides) under uncultured bacterium. RNAcentral's name for it is "partial 16S ribosomal RNA". It matches the Rfam family "Bacterial small subunit ribosomal RNA", at positions 28 to 507 of the family's 1533-position model. The record is from RNAcentral.
GACGAACGCUGGCGGCGUGCUUAACACAUGCAAGUCGAACGGAAAGGCCCUGCUUGCGGGGUACUCGAGUGGCGAACGGGUGAGUAACACGUGGGUGAUCUGCCCUGCACUUCGGGAUAAGCCUGGGAAACUGGGUCUAAUACCGGAUAUGACCUUCCAUGUAGCGUGGGGGGUGGAAAGAUUUAUCGGUGUGGGUUGAGCCCGCGGCCUAUCAGCUGGUUGGUGGGGUAAUGGCCUACCAAGGCGUCGACGGGUAGCCGGCCUGAUAGGGUGGCCGGCCACAUAGGGCUUGGGAAGGGGCCCGGACGCAAACGGGAGGAAGCGGUGGGGACUUUUCCACAAGGGGCGGAGGCCGGGGGCAGGGACGCCGGGUGGGGAUGACGGCCUUCGGGUUGUAAACCUCUUUCGACAGGGACGAAGCUUCGGUGACGGUACCUGUAGAAGAAGCACCGGCUAACUACGUG